AAUAGAUACCCCGGUAGUCCACGCCGUAAACGAUGGGCACUAGGUGUGGGAGGUGUCGACUCCUUCCGUGCCGAAGCUAACGCAUUAAGUGCCCCGCCUGGGGAGUACGGCCGCAAGGCUAAAACUCAAAAGGAAUUGACGGGGGCCCGCGACAAGCAGCGGAGCAUGUGGUUUAAUUCGACGCAACGCGAAGAACCUUACCUGGCUUGACAUGUUCCUGACCGGUGUGGAAACACAUCUUCCCUUCGGGGCAGGAUCACAGGUGGUGCAUGGCUGUCGUCAGCUCGUGUCGUGAGAUGUUGGGUUAAGUCCCGCAACGAGCGCAACCCCCGUCGUAUGUUGCCAGCAUUUAGUUGGGGACUCAUACGAGACUGCCGGUGACAAACCGGAGGAAGGUGGGGAUGACGUCAAGUCAUCAUGCCCCUUAUGUCCAGGGCUACACACGUGCUACAUUGGCCGGUACAAAGGGCUGCGAUACCGCGAGGUGGAGCGAAUCCCAUAAAGCCGGUCUUGGUUCGGAUUGGAGGCUGAAACUCGCUCC
This 541-nucleotide ribosomal RNA is filed under the name uncultured bacterium. RNAcentral's name for it is "bacterial SSU rRNA". It matches the Rfam family "Bacterial small subunit ribosomal RNA", at positions 777 to 1318 of the family's 1533-position model. The record is from RNAcentral.